RNAcentral lists this microRNA precursor (64 nucleotides) under Mus pahari (shrew mouse). Its description in RNAcentral is "microRNA 6916 (MGP_PahariEiJ_G0007781.1)". Lineage: Eukaryota; Metazoa; Chordata; Mammalia; Rodentia; Muridae. The record is from RNAcentral.
GCAGGCUGGAGGACAGAGAUGAGUCACGGGGUUCCUAGAUGCUCUGGUCUCCCUCUUCCCACAG